UUAUGUACAUGCCUACAAUGUUAAUGCAUUAGAUCCCAUAGAACUCUGCAGUUGAGUGCGCUUGGGAUAGAGUAGUACUAGUAGGGGUGACCUCCCGAGAAGUCCUAGUGUUUUGCAUUAU
Molecule: non-coding RNA, 121 nt
Organism: Picea glauca (white spruce)
Lineage: Eukaryota; Viridiplantae; Streptophyta; Pinopsida; Pinales; Pinaceae
Source: Rfam